This 1010-nucleotide ribosomal RNA is filed under the name uncultured bacterium. RNAcentral's name for it is "bacterial SSU rRNA". It matches the Rfam family "Bacterial small subunit ribosomal RNA", at positions 383 to 1394 of the family's 1533-position model. The record is from RNAcentral.
CUGAUCCAGCCAUGCCGCGUGCAGGAAGACGGCCUUAUGGGUUGUAAACUGCUUUUAUACGGGAGCAAUAAGGGUUACGAGUAAUCCGAUGAGAGUACUGUAUGAAUAAGGAUCGGCUAACUCCGUGCCAGCAGCCGCGGUAAUACGGAGGAUCCGAGCGUUAUCCGGAAUUAUUGGGUUUAAAGGGUGCGUAGGCGGCCAUUUAAGUCAGCGGUGAAAUUUUGCAGCUUAACUGUAACAGUGCCGUUGAUACUGUUUGGCUAGGAUUUGGUUGUAGUGUGCGGAAUGUGUGGUGUAGCGGUGAAAUGCUUAGAUAUCACACAGAACACCGAUUGCGAAGGCAGCACACUAAGUCAUUAUUGACGCUGAGGCACGAAAGUGUGGGGAUCAAAGAGGAUUAGAUACCCUGGUAGUCCACACUGUAAACGAUGAUAACUCGCUGUCGGCGAUACACAGUCGGUGGCCAAGCGAAAGCAUUAAGUUAUCCACCUGGGGAGUACGACCGCAAGGUUGAAACUCAAAGGAAUUGACGGGGGCCCGCACAAGCGGAGGAACAUGUGGUUUAAUUCGAUGAUACGCGAGGAACCUUACCCGGGCUCGAACGGUGCAUGAAUAUACGAGAGAUUGUAUAGUCCUUCGGGACAUGUAUCGAGGUGCUGCAUGGUUGUCGUCAGCUCGUGCCGUGAGGUGUCGGCUUAAGUGCCAUAACGAGCGCAACCCUCGUCAUUAGUUGCCAUCAGGUCAAGCUGGGGACUUUAAUGAGACUGCCACCGUAAGGUGUGAGGAAGGGGGGGAGGACGUCAAAUCAGCACGGCCCUUAUGUCCGGGGGGACACACGUGUUACAAUGGGAGGUACAGAGGGCAGCUAUCCGGUGACGGAAUGAUAAUCUCCAAAACCUCUCUCAGUUCGGAUUGGAGUGUGCAACUCGACUCCAUGAAGGUGGAUUCGCUAGUAAUCGCGCAUCAGCCAUGGCGCGGUGAAUAAAAUCCCGGGCCUUGUACACACCGCC